Long non-coding RNA from Hemicordylus capensis (graceful crag lizard), 2597 nucleotides. RefSeq lists it as uncharacterized. The transcript has 3 exons. NCBI's taxonomy places the organism in Eukaryota, Metazoa, Chordata, Lepidosauria, Squamata, Cordylidae. The record is from RefSeq and is a predicted model, not a curated record.
AGAGCUCGUCGCCUGCAGGUGCACAUACUUGCUGUGCGGUGCGUCGGGCUGGAAAGGAGUGGACCGGGGAGGACGGAGGAAGGAAGGAUUCGGCGGCCAGCCAGCGUAGGAGCAGGAGGACAAGCAAGGACGGAGCACUGAGCAAGGAAACAAUAGGCUCUUCCGGACCUCUUCCUGUCUGUUCACAUGGAGGCCGAGGUGACUGGGAGCUGCCACAGGCUGCACCAUGCUAGAAGGGAAAAGGCCACAGCGACCACCAAUGGAACCGAACUGCCAGCCUCUGCAGCCCGCGGUGAGAAACACCCAGAAUCUGAACAUCGCUCCCAUUUUCUCCCUAGAAGGAAGGAACACUCAAAAUGGUUGGUGAAACAUCUUCCUAUGGCUUAAGCAUGAGGGGCAACAGAUAUGACAAGGAGCAAAGAUGGAAGAAGGGGUAGAACCUUUGAAGCAGCUGCUCCAGAACUGUGUCUUUUUUCAGAUUCCAGAGGAGGCCGAUCAAAUCAGAUAGGAGGGAGGAGGUCAGAACCCCUGGGAAAGCUGCAAUCUUCACAGCGUACCAUUUCUAUAGAAGACUAUGGCCUUGUUUAGAAACAUGAUAUAAGAAAAUCUCACCAGUGUGGGGUUCCACCUGCCCACUUCAACCCAGCCACCUUGUUUUCAUAUUGCCUGCAUGCCAAGUAGUCUGGAUCUAUGAUGACUGGGGCAGCUGCCAUGCUAACAUUGUAUUUGUAAAAGCAGAGAGUCCGUGUUAAACAUGAAGCUGGCCAUGUGGACACAUUUUCCUUUCUCACCUGGUGUCACUUUUGAACUGAAAUCAUCAUCAGUUACCUUUUCGGCAUACCGGCUGGUAACACUUCAAGUCUUAUAUACAAUAGCCAAAUCAGAAGUUGAAACAAAUGAGAGUGGAGAGAGAAGUAAAUGAGCAAACCUUUUAACCCUUUCAGUGACCAAAAUAUCUCAUGGCUUCUUUCAUCUCUACAUUAAUAUUGGAUUGCAACUGCUCGAUAAACAUGGCUUCUUUAAUCUAACAUCUUAUUCAGUUCUCUUCACCUGCCAGUAUUGACACUUCUGUUUGUGUUACUUCUCCUUGAUGUUUUCCCCUCGUGUUGUCAUGCGCAUUUCAUCGCCAUUAUAUCGUUUUAUCCAUAAGACCACACAAUGAAUUCACACGAGGUGAGAUUUGAACUAGACAUUUCCAAGUGUACAGUCCGUACUUCUGUGAAUUGUGCUACACCAACUUUUCAAGCAGAGAUGUAAGCAAGGCCAACAACCGCACUGAAGAAGCUGCGAGGUCUCAGCACUGACAAAGGCUCAUGAAUUAAGAUGGUCCAACACAGUUCAGUCACAAGCGCAGCCCAAGAGCAAAACCCCAGCAUUUCAAGCAGUGGCAAGUCUAACAUACCUUCACUAGGAAAAGGCGAGAGAAAUAGUUGGCCCAGUUAUCACGAGCAGCCACCACAAUCCUCUUCUUUAUCCCAUCUUCUGGAAUUGAGCUGGCAUCCAUACCCACCUGGAACUUCGCUGUCAGGGAUGAAAAAGGCGAAGUGUCAUCGAAGUAGACACAAAGUGCAGGGCUCAGUCUUAAUAGCCAAAGGAGAGAAUGAAGAAGCUGGACCUCUGCUUAAGAGUCCCAUUUCUGUUAUGGGUAUUUAAGGGCAACUCUAAAAUCCCAUGAAUCAUUUAUUUAUUUAUUUAUUUAUUUACUUAUUUAUUCAUUCAUUUAUUUAUUUAUUUUCACAUUUAUCCCGCUCUUCCUCCAAGGAGCCCAGAGCGGUGGACUACAUACUUGAGAUUCUCUUUCACAACAACCCUGUGAAGUAGGUGAGGCUGAGAGAGAAGUGACUGGCCCAGAGUCACCCAGCUAGUAUCAUGGCUGAAUGGGGAUUUGAACUCGGGUCUCCCCGGUCCUAGUCCAGCACUCUGAGAGCCGCAGAACCUUUGGGGGUUGUGAUGAGUUCAUUGCUACUGAGUGAACAUAGGCAAGUGUGUUAGAUACAUACAGUCUCCACAUCCCUAACGCACUACUGUGGCACAUGUUUCCAAAGAGUUAUUCAAUUCCUGCCAGAAGCGAUAUGGCAUUGAGAUAUUUGAGGCAGGGAACAGGAUAGGAUGCUUUGAGGCUGCUUACUCAACAGGUCUUUCAUCUUGCGCCUCUCCUCUUUGGAGAUCCGAAUGCAUGAAUCUGAAUAAGUGUCUCUCAUGAUCUGGGAAGGAAGGAAGAACAUUGACUUCCAUUAGACUCAUAUACUUCAGAUGUCAAGUAGAGUCUCUGAACCUGGAAGCUCAAAGGCGGCGGCUGGUGCAUAACUCCAAACAGGCAGGGCAGCACGACACAGAAACACAAUGAGGAAAGAAAUAAAAAGGCCAUUUUGGCAGAGGCUAGUGGACCAAGAGGAAGAAAGCAUUAACAAAAGAUGAUCAAUCUUGCUCUCUCCUCUUCACCCCGCACAUCCCCACACAAAAUGUGUGUAGAUGGUUGCAUAACAGAUUCAGACAAUAAGGAUGACUGAAGUUUUACCUGGUUGCAUAACAGAUUCAAACAAUAAGGAUGACUGAAGUUUUCUUUGGGGUAAAAAACCUGUUAGGGACAAAAAAGA